GGGUUGUGAGGUUAAGCGACUAAGCGUACACGGUGGAUGCCCUGGCAGUCAGAGGCGAUGAAGGACGUGCUAAUCUGCGAAAAGCGUCGGUAAGGUGAUAUGAACCGUUACAGCCGGCGAUGUCCGAAUGGGGAAACCCAGUGCAAUUCGUUGCACUAUCGUUAACUGAAUACAUAGGUUAACGAAGCGAACCGGGGGAACUGAAACAUCUAAGUACCCCGAGGAAAAGAAAUCAACCGAGAUUCCCCCAGUAGCGGCGAGCGAACGGGGAGCAGCCCAGAGUCUGAAUCAGCUUGUGUGUUAGUGGAACGGUCUGGAAAGUCCGACGGUACAGGGUGAUAGUCCCGUACACCAAAAUGCACAGGUUGUGAACUCGAAGAGUAGGGCGGGACACGUGGUAUCCUGUCUGAAUAUGGGGGGACCAUCCUCCAAGGC
RNAcentral lists this ribosomal RNA (435 nucleotides) under Klebsiella pneumoniae. RNAcentral describes it as "bacterial LSU rRNA". It matches the Rfam family "Bacterial large subunit ribosomal RNA", at positions 1 to 466 of the family's 2925-position model. Lineage: Bacteria; Pseudomonadati; Pseudomonadota; Gammaproteobacteria; Enterobacterales; Enterobacteriaceae. The record is from RNAcentral.